GACGAACGCUGGCGGCGUGCUUAACACAUGCAAGUCGAGCGGUAAGGCCCUUUCGGGGGUACACGAGCGGCGAACGGGUGAGUAACACGUGGGUGACCUGCCCUCAGCUCUGGGAUAAGCCCGGGAAACCGGGUCUAAUACUGGAUAUGACUCCAUGACGCAUGUUGUGGGGUGAAAGCCUUGUGCGGCUGAGGAUGGGCCCGCGGCCUAUCAGCUUGUUGGUGGGGUGAUGGCCUACCAAGGCGACGACGGGUAGCCGGCCUGAGAGGGCGACCGGCCACACUGGGGACUGAGACACGGCCCAGACUCCUACGGGAGGCAGCAGUGGGGAAUCUUGCGCAAUGGGCGAAAGCCUGACGCAGCGACGCCGCGUGAGGGAUGACGGCCU
This 388-nucleotide ribosomal RNA is filed under the name uncultured bacterium. Its description in RNAcentral is "bacterial SSU rRNA". It matches the Rfam family "Bacterial small subunit ribosomal RNA", at positions 28 to 417 of the family's 1533-position model. The record is from RNAcentral.